This 450-nucleotide ribosomal RNA is filed under the name uncultured bacterium. RNAcentral's name for it is "partial 16S ribosomal RNA". It matches the Rfam family "Bacterial small subunit ribosomal RNA", at positions 354 to 796 of the family's 1533-position model. The record is from RNAcentral.
GUGGGGAGUAUUGGACAAUGGGCGAAAGCCUGAUCCAGCCAUGCCGCGUGUGUGAAGAAGGUCUUCGGAUUGUAAAGCACUUUAAGUUGGGAGGAAGGGUAGUAACCUAAUACGUUGCUACUUUGACGUUACCGACAGAAUAAGCACCGGCUAACUUCGUGCCAGCAGCCGCGGUAAUACGAAGGGUGCAAGCGUUAAUCGGAAUUACUGGGCGUAAAGCGCGCGUAGGUGGUUCAGUAAGUUGGAAGUGAAAUCCCCGGGCUCAACCUGGGAACUGCUUUCAAAACUGCUGAGCUAGAGUACGGUAGAGGGUGGUGGAAUUUCCUGUGUAGCGGUGAAAUGCGUAGAUAUAGGAAGGAACACCAGUGGCGAAGGCGACCACCUGGACUGAUACUGACACUGAGGUGCGAAAGCGUGGGGAGCAAACAGGAUUAGAAACCCGUGUAGUCC